CGCCGCGCAACUCAGACCACUGGAGCGGAGUAGUAUCUGGAGUUUCUGUAACAUCCUUUCCCUUUUUUUUUUUUUUUAAAGCCAGAGCCUCUGUCGCCCAGGCUGCAGUACAGUGGCGUAAUCUCAGCUCACUGCAACCUCUGCCUCCCGGGAUCAAGCGAUUCUCCUUCCUCAGCCUCCCGAGUAGCUGGGAUUACAGGUGCCCGUCGGCUAAUUUUUGGUUUUUUGUUUUGUUUUGUUUUGUUUUUUUUGUUUUUGUUUUUGUUUUGAAACGGAGUCUCUGUCGCCCAGGCUGGAGUGCAACGGCGUGAUCUCGGCUCACUGCAACCUCCGCCUCCCGGGUUCAAGCGAUUCUUCUGUCUCGGCCUCCCAAGUAGCUGGGAUUACAGGCGUCCACCACCAGGCGCAGCUAAUUUUUUGUAUUUUUAGUAGACACGAGGUUUUGCCAUGUUGGCCAGGCUGGUUUCGAACUCCUGGCCUCAAGUGAUCCGCCUGCCUCGGCCUCCCAAAGUGCUGGGAUUACAGGCGACACCCUUUGCUUUUUUUUUUUUUUUUUUUUUGAGGCGGAGUAUCACUCUGUUGCCCAGGCUGGAGUGCAAUGGCGUGAUCUCGGCUCACUGCAACCUCUGCCUCCCAGGUUCAAGAGAUUCUUCUGCCUCAGCCUCCCAAGUAGCUGGCACUGCAGACACGCACCACCACACCCAGGAUGGUGCUAGCAUAUAUAAGACUGAAACACCAAAGUCCUCCGUGGAAGUUAAUGAAUUUCUAAUAGUGAAAUAAGGUGGCCAAGGAGGCAGAGAUGGAGUCAGGGACUCUGUGAUCAACCCUGAGGAUUGGGAAGGAACUAUACAUACCAGGAGGCAAGGAGCACUGGGGGCCCUCCUGGAACUGCCUGUCACAGCGUCCUCAAAGCAGUAUGAUGGUACUUCCAGUACCCCAGUGACACCUAGCCUGAGAAAGAAGCAGAGAUAAAGUCUAUAGAGGAAGAGAGCAUCUGAAUGACGUUUGAGUCCCUGGAUCCACUGUGUGAAGCCAGAGCCACUCCUGCAAGUGUUUUGUUUAGGUUUAAAUUUGAUUGAGAUUUUUAUUACUUCAAAGUAAAAAAUUCUUACUAAUGCAAUGCCUUCAGCCUUCCACCUCAAAGUCACUGAAAGGAUCUUAAUAUUUU
Molecule: long non-coding RNA, 1168 nt
Filed under: Homo sapiens (human)
Lineage: Eukaryota; Metazoa; Chordata; Mammalia; Primates; Hominidae
Description: HSALNT0107691
Source: RNAcentral